Molecule: transfer RNA, 91 nt
Filed under: Anaerobutyricum hallii
Lineage: Bacteria; Bacillati; Bacillota; Clostridia; Lachnospirales; Lachnospiraceae
Also listed under: 2 other names
Description: tRNA-Ser(gga)
Rfam family: tRNA
About the family: Transfer RNA (tRNA) molecules are approximately 80 nucleotides in length. Their secondary structure includes four short double-helical elements and three loops (D, anti-codon, and T loops).
Source: RNAcentral
UGGAGAAGUACCCAAGAGGCCGAAGGGGCUCGCCUGGAAAGUGAGUAGGUCGUUAGUAGCGGCGCAAGGGUUCAAAUCCCUUCUUCUCCGU